CCUACGGGUGGCAGCAGUGGGGAAUAUUGCACAAUGGGGGAAACCCUGAUGCAGCGACGCCGCGUGAGUGAAGAAGCACUUCGUUAUGUAAAGCUCUAUCAGCAGGGAAGAAAAUGACGGUACCUGAGGAAGAAGCCCCGGCUAACUACGUGCCAGCAGCCGCGGUAAUACGUAGGGGGCAAGCGUUAUCCGGAUUUACUGGGUGUAAAGGGGGCGUAGACGGCAGUGCAAGCCUGGAGUGAAAGGCGGGGGCUCAACCCCCGGACUGCUCUGGGAACUGCGCGGCUGGAGUGCAGGAGAGGUAGGUGGAAUUCCUGGUGUAGCGGUGAAAUGCGUAGAUAUCAGGAGGAACACCGGUGGCGAAGGCGGCUUACUGGACUGUAACUGACGUUGAGGCUCGAAAGCGUGGGGAGCAAACAGGAUUAGAUACCCGUGUAGUC
RNAcentral lists this ribosomal RNA (440 nucleotides) under uncultured bacterium. RNAcentral's name for it is "partial 16S ribosomal RNA". It matches the Rfam family "Bacterial small subunit ribosomal RNA", at positions 338 to 795 of the family's 1533-position model. The record is from RNAcentral.